CCCUGCCGGUUGCGCUCUGUGCCGCGGACGCCCAGGCGCGCCGGCUCGGACCCGGGCCGGUCUACAACCCGAAGUGCGGCCUAUGCUCCCAGAGGGCGUCCAGCCCGCCCCGCUCCUCCGCCGCCUCCUCCUCUUCUAGCCUAGCCCGUCUGUCUCGGUUUCCAGAACUCGACAGCUUCCGAAGAGGCGCAUUCCGUCCAUCAUCUCCCUGAUUCUUGCCGCCUCCCCUUAGGAAGGGGGACCCCUUUCAGGGCCUGAGAGUGGGCUCUUGUCUAACACUUGGAAAUGAAUGGUCUUAGAAGACACGCAUCUUGACAAGAGACUUUAUUGUGAAGGAGCGCCUGGGAGAGAGCAGCAGGUCAGCAUCAUAGAGGAUUUUGAAAGAAAUACUGGAACACCAAAGAAGAACUUCUUGGACUUCCAGCAUCCCACCCAAGUAACAUUCCAAGACACCCUGAUGACUUCUGCCAGACAGCUCACUCGCAUUUCAAAGUCUAAACCAACCUUCCCUCCUUCCCUUGCCCUGCCAACUCCUAUGGAACCCCCAGAGUUGGUGAGGGGAGUGAUCCCAUCUCCUAAAAAGGCCCUCAAGUAUUCAAGGGAGAGGGAAGCCCAGGACUGGAGCUUUUCUGAGACCAAAGCAACAAAGUAGUCCAGGAGAACAUGCUGCCUGGUGCCCCUCCAGCCUACUCCCUUCCUCCCUGGGGUCCCCUUCUCCAGGGCACCCUCUGGAUGUACAGCGGGGCAUGAAAGCCAUUAAGCUAUGACAUGGCCCUCCAUGAUUGCUACCAGUCUUGCCUUCACUGUUUAGGCUUUUUGUCUGGAGCCAUGACAUUUCCUACUUUAACUAAACUUGAUCACUUCCAUUCCCGGGUAAAGACCGGCCCUUAUACACAUGUUACCAAAACGUAUGUGUGGGAGGGUCUGGCUGCUUGCCGCCCCAAAGCCAAUAAACAGGCCAGGUUGGUGGAAAGGAAAGUUUGCUUUAUUUCAGAUAUUGGCAACUGGGGGGAGAGGAUGGCAGACAUCUGUCCAAAGGCUGAUUCACCACUCCUGACAAGCAGGGGUGAGAGCUUUUAUAGAAAGAUGGUGGGGGGCUGGGGGGGGG
Molecule: long non-coding RNA, 1108 nt
Organism: Bubalus bubalis (water buffalo)
Lineage: Eukaryota; Metazoa; Chordata; Mammalia; Artiodactyla; Bovidae
Exons: 3
Source: RefSeq, a predicted model, not a curated record